GAUGAACGCUGGCGGCGUGCCUAAUACAUGCAAGUCGAGCGAACAGACGAGGAGCUUGCUCCUCUGACGUUAGCGGCGGACGGGUGAGUAACACGUGGAUAACCUACCUAUAAGACUGGGAUAACUUCGGGAAACCGGAGCUAAUCCCGGAUAAUAUAUUGAACCGCAGGGUUCAAUAGUAAAAGAGGGUUUUGCGUCCACUUUUAGAUGGAUCCGCCCCGAAUUAGCUAGUUGGUAAGGUAACGGCUUACCAGGGCAACGAUGCGUAGCCGACCUGAGAGGGUGAUCGGCCACACUGGAACUGAGACACGGUCCAGACUCCUACGGGAGGCAGCAGUAGGGAAUCUUCCGCAAUGGGCGAAAGCCUGACGGAGCAACGCCGCGUGAGUGAUGAAGGUCUUCGGAUCGUAAAACUCUGUUAUUAGGGAAGAACAAAUGUGUAAGUAACUAUGCACGUCUUGACGGUACCUAAUCAGAAAGCCACGGCUAACUACGUG
This 497-nucleotide ribosomal RNA is filed under the name uncultured bacterium. RNAcentral's name for it is "partial 16S ribosomal RNA". It matches the Rfam family "Bacterial small subunit ribosomal RNA", at positions 28 to 507 of the family's 1533-position model. The record is from RNAcentral.